RNAcentral lists this long non-coding RNA (2751 nucleotides) under Homo sapiens (human). RNAcentral's name for it is "HSALNT0332594". Lineage: Eukaryota; Metazoa; Chordata; Mammalia; Primates; Hominidae. The record is from RNAcentral.
CCUAGAAACAAUUCUCCAGAGGAGAGUCAUAGAGGACCUGAACUAGGCAGUAGCAGAGGGAUGGAGACAAGAAGACCGCUGUGAGACAUGCCAGGGAAGACGGCCUUCUAGACCCUAGUGACUCUAAGCAUGGUCUCUGGGCCAACAGCCUCAGCAUCUCUCGGGAGAUUGUGAGAAAUGCGAAUUCUCAGGCCCCAACCCAGAUCUACUGAAUAAAAAUCUGCUUGGAAAAGAUCGCCAAGGGAUCCAUAUGCUCCUUAAACUUCAGAAGCACUGCUUUCAGACCACUUGCCUGGGAGAGGGAUGGAGGAAGGAAUGGACGAUGACUCUGAGCCUGUGUUCAAGCAUUAUAAAAUGGGUGAGACCUUCUAGAACAACAUGGAUGAGACCUUUCUUUGAGAAGAGUGCUUUCCCUUCAACAGUGCAAGUGCCAAGAAGCCAGGAGCCAUGUCUAUUUUCUUCUCUACAAGUUCUACUCAGUACCUAAUUCAGUGACUAAUACAGAGCAGGAAUUUGACAGAUGCCUGUUGAAUGAAUGACAAUAGGGGAUUUUGGACAGUUGGAUUAAUUUUUCCAUUUAAGAGACAAGAUCUUACUCUCUCACCCUGACUGGAGUGCAGUGGCAUGACGAUGGCUCACUGCAGCAUCAACCUCCUGAGCCCAAGCAAUCCUCCCACCUCAGCCUCUUGAGUAGCUGGGACUAUAGGUGCACUACACCUGGCUAAUUUUUGUAUGUUUUGUGGAGACGGGGUCCCACUAUGUUGCCUAGGCUGGUCUCCAACUCCUGGGCUCAAGGGAUCCUCUCACCUUGGCCUCCAAAGUGCUGGGAUUAUAGGUAUGAACCACUGUAUGCAGCCCAUCUGUUGUAUUUAGGUCUUUGGUGCAUUUGAGUUAAUUUUUGCAUGUGAUGUAAGGUAAGGUCCUACUUCAUUCUUUUGCAUGUGGAUAUCGAGUUUUUCUGAUAUUAAUUGCUAAAGAGACUGUCCUUUACUGAAUGGCCUUGGCAUCCUUGUCAAAAAUCAUUCAACCCAAUAGACAAAGGUUUAUUUCUGGGCCCUCUAUUCUAUUCCAUUGGUCUAUACAUCUAUUUUUAUGCCAGUGCCACACUGUUUUUAUUACUGUAGCUUUGUGGUAAAAUUUGAAAUCAGGAAGUAUGAGAUUGCCAAUAUUGUUCUUUUUCAACAUUGUUUGGGCUACUCAAAGUCCCUUGAGAUUCCAUAUGAAUUUUAGAAUGAAUUUUUCUAAUUUUGCAAAAAAAUGCUAUUGGGAUUUUGUUAAGGUUUGCACUGAAUCUAUAGAUUGCUUUGGGUGGUAGUGAGACUUUAACAAUGUUACACCUUCCAAUCCAUAAAUAUGGAUAUCUUUCCAAUCCGUUUGUGUCUUUAAUUUCUUUCAGCAUUUUUAAAAAAAAAAUUUUCAUUUUUUAUAGAGAUGGGAUCUCACUAUGUUGCCUAGGCUGGUCUUAAACUUCUGGCCUCAAACAAUCUUCCCACUUUGGCCUCCCAAAGUGCUAGGAUCACAGGCGUGAGCUAUUGUGCCCGGCCCUCACCAAUAUUUUGUAGAAUUUAGUGUACUAGUCUUUUAUCUCCUUGGUUAAGUUUAUUCCUAUUUUAUUAUUUUUGAUGCUAUUGUAAUUCGAAUUUUUUUCUAAUAUUGCUGUUAAUCUUCUAUUUUAUAGAUGAGCAUACUGAAGCCCAGAGACAUUAAGUAACUAGGCUCAUUAGUAGUGACAGUGAUGUUGCCACCAAACUGUAAAGCCAGGAUUUGGACUCAGGCAAGUGACCCCACAGUUGUGUUCUUGAGUGCUCCACCGCAGCAUCACUACAGGAAGUGGACUAGAUUCUCAUGGGCCUUCAGGAUGAUGAAGAAUUCUGGACGAUUUACAGUGGAAAAUCAGGAUUACUGUGGUUUUUGCCUGCUCCUCCCUGUUCUUCCUUCUUUGUUGUUUAGACAAAUUCUAAACGACAGACCUUCAGCUCUCAAAUGCUAGAACCUUGACGAAGAUUUAUAGCCUAUUCUCUUUAGAGUGCCACUUUUCCUUCCUUUCUUAACUGGACUAUGAAUGGCUCUUAUCUACUUUUGUUCUUUUAUUUUUUUCACAUUUUACUCCAAUUUCCUAGAAUAAAUUCAUAAAUAAUUGGAAGCUGGUUUGGAGACACAGCAAUAAAUUUUUUUAAAUGAUGCUUUGUAGUAGCGACUUAGGCAUUUUCCUUAUUAUGGAUAUGUCUGGACUGUACAAGGAUCUCUUUGUAUAACCAACCUCAAUAAACUGAUGGAUGGAACAGAGGCUUCAUUUGUCUUUGGCACAGUGGCACUAACCUGCUUCAGAAUUUUGACAUCAAUUGUUAGACAUUAAGUAACUUGCCUCUUUCUCAUGAGCCCAGUCAUCAAAAAGGGACAUGGAAAUAUCCUAAUGUUUCACCUGUUUUAUUACAGGGUUUUAAUAACUUAGAGAACCUCCAAAUGAGAGUACUGAAAAAAUAUCUAUAGUGUAACACGCUCUGUGCAACCAGAUGAAGAAAUAAUGUAGGGAAAAAACCAGUGUUGCUUCAUUUCUCUCUUUCUCUCUCUUUCUCCAUCCAUCCACCCAUCCAUCCGAAUAAUGACUAAACUCUACUCAUACUUAUCCCUACAUGUCCCUACAAUCCAUUCAUUUUUUCAUCUCCACUGCAUUGCCUCCAUUCAGAUGUCAUUAUCAUUUGUCCACUUUGCUACUGCAGCCUCCCAACUGGACCCUCUUCCUCCAGUCUU